CGCGCACCGCCGGGAGCGCGCAGCGCCGCGUCCCCAGCUAUGGCGGCGGCGGCCACCUCGCAGCGAGACCCGGGCGAUUGGCAGGACUUCUCGGGAUUCCAGCCGUCCGCGGGGAGCGGCCCCGAGGCUGCCUGCGACAAGGGCGGCUGGGGCGGCGGGGAUCUCGGGGCGAAGCUGUCCCUCUGCUUCGAGCCCCCGCAGGCCCGGGCUGGCGGCGGCGAGAGCCGCGUUCCGCUGCGGCCGCUCACGGAGCAGAGCGCGCUGCAGGACGAUGAGAUUUGGAAUGCCUUGACUGAUAAUUAUGGUAACGUGAUGCCAGUUGACUGGAAAUCUUCCCACACCAGAGCUUUGCACUUGCCAACACUGAAUCUUUCAGAAAAAGGGGUAAAUGACAACUUGAACCUUGACUUGUCAGAUGAUGAAGAGCUGAGAGAACAGUUGGAUAUGCAUUCUAUCAUUGUUUCCUGCAUCAAUGAAGAGCCACUCUUCACGGCAGAACAGGUGAUUGAAGAAAUAGAGGAAAUGAUGCAGGAAUCGCCUGAUCCAGAAGAUGAUGAAACACCCACCCAAUCAGAUAGGCUCUCUAUACUUUCCCAGGAAAUUCAGACCCUCAAGAGAUCCAGUACAAACAACAGCUAUGAAGAGAGAGUCAAAAGAUUGUCUGUUGCUGAAUUAAAUGAACUGCUAGAAGAAAUUGAGACUGCUAUUAAGGAUUAUUCUGAGGAACUGGUACAGCAGCUGGCUCUACGAGAUGAGCUGGAGUUUGAGAAGGAAGUGAAAAACAGCUUCAUUUCUGUCCUCAUUGAAGUACAGAACAAACAGCGAGAACACAAAGAAACAGCAAAGAAGAAAAAGAAGCUGAAAAAUGGUAGUCCUCAGAAUGGCAAACAAGAAAGAGGUCAUAUGCCUGGAACACGCUUCAGCAUGGAAGGGAUCUCAAAUGUCAUACAGAAUGGCUUCCGCCACACCUUUGGAAACUCAAGUGGAGAGAAACAGUACUUGACAACCGUCAUUCCUUAUGAGAAGAAAAAUGGACCCCCAUCUGUUGAAGACCUUCAAACAUUAACCAAAAUUCUGCAUGCCAUGAAAGAGGAUAGUGAGAAAGUGCCAAGCUUGUUAACAGACUAUAUUUUAAAGGUUCUGUGUCCUACGUGAAGAGGGCUGCCUUUCAGAAUUAGCCAUGCUCCUUUCUGUGAUGAGAAGCUUUCCUUGGAUAAAACUCAUAGUAUUUUUUCAUAUGGCACUAUACUUAAAGCAGUAUUCAUUUUCCUCCUCCAUGUGUGUGGAUUUUCUGAUCCUACAUUUUAGCAUGUGACAGGUGUAAAUGGCCACCCAAAAACAGCUGACAGAUAUCUUAGCAGAGUUCAUGAAAAUCCACUCCACUAUUGUUACGAAGAGUCCUGGAAGUGAAGUUGCCCUAAAGUCAUUGAAUUUUAAGGCAAGUGUCAGUCUGAAAUACAUUUGCCUGCCACAGGAUGGCAGCAAUCCGUCACCACUGAAGCAUCGCUCAGUUCGACUGUGGCAUCUCAAGAUGAAGCCCAAAGAUAAGCUAGUCACACGCGAUCGCUUUGUGAACGUGGUAUCACAAGCACAGGAAGGCCUUUGUGUACACUUACUCAUUAUUAAUUUAAGCCAUAGUUUACGACGUUUGUUACAAUGUGAUAAUUUGCUUAGCUACAAAAGCUGGCCCUAGGGAUGAGCUCUGAUACUCUCUCAUAUAGCAGUUGGUAUGGGAGUUCGUUCUGUGGAGGGUUGAAUACUGAGGGUAAGGUAAGUAAUCUCUUUUUAAUGCUUCCCAGUGAGUAUGUAUUUCCUACCAAUAUCUGAGGGGUUUUCACCUUUAGGCUUGUGUUUCCUCUUCCUAAGGCCAUCUGAACUAUACAUUGCUACAGUGUGAUGCCCAUCUGCAAUAUACCUUCUCUUUCCCUGGAAUUCAGGACCUCUUUGAAAACAUUCAUUGCCUGGAGCCAGUAAUUACUAUUUUCAUUGUAUGUACAGCUACAUACAAUGAGUUUGCUGUCACCUCUUCUGAAACAAUAAAUUAAUUGCUUUAAAAAAAAUUUUAUGAAUUUUUAUAUCCAUGCAUCUGUAAGUCACUUGUAGUAGUCCUUGGUUGGUUCUGUCAGCAGUGACUUGACCCAGCACUUACUGGUAAAAGCAAGAUUCUGUGAAAGCUGAGGAGGCUUUAUAGCUGUUACCAUGUAAAGGAUCUUGUGAAAUUAAAUUAUUCUUUGAAGCCCUUACUUCAUAAAAGCUGAGUCUUUCUGUUAGAGAAUGCAGUUUUAAACAUCAAAAAAGUGCAGGGGCAAAAUAGGAUUUGUGGCCAGCAAGCUCUAUCCUGACAGACAGUAAAUCAUGCUGCCUCCAGCCAGGGAUACACAUCUCCCUGUCCAGCACCCUGCAGUCUCUCUCACCCCAAGCCCAAUGAUAGCUACAAACCUGAGCCAUCCUAAUGGUGCUUCUGCAGAGGUGUCUCAGCUGCUCACAGAACCAGAGCUACCUAGGGAGCACUAGAGACUAGAAACUCCUCCAGCAGGGCAUAAAGCCAGAGAUAAGCCAGAGAUGAGCCAGUCUGCAUGGUGGCUGAUGUGAAAGGGGGUGUGAGGAAGGCAAGUGAGAGGGAGAAAGCCCUGGACUUCAGGGGAGCAGACUUGGGCUCCUUCAGGCAGCUUGAGAUGGGGGGCUCAGAUUCACCAGGACAGAGGCAGCAAAGUAAAAGUGUACAUUGAAGGCAAAUCUUAGCUUCACAAUGAGCAACAAAAUGAUGCUUAUAAAUGUCACCUGUCUUACUAAUAAUAUUCUCAUAGGACUCAGUGUGGAGAGCCCAGUACCAGAGAAGGCAUGGGACUUUCUCAAAGCUGUUAAUAGCACUCUGACAGAUGAUGGAAAGUACCCUGAAAGUCUUUGCCCAGCUGUUUGAUGCCAUGUCCCUUUUGGGUUUGAAAAGUCAUUUUCAGUGGCAGUGCAGGCUCCUGAGCUGUGUACCUCAUCAUGAGGAUGGCAUCAAGAAGCAUCUGAAAGAUACAGCCUUGGCUGACCUGCUCAAAAGAUUAUGAGCAGAAGUGGGCAAUGUGGUGAAGUGCUCAAUUCCUUGGCCAUGUCAAGCUACAGUUUGGAUGUAACUCCUCACCUCUUUUGACCUUGCUUGGUAGCAUGUACUCUUGCCCAGGUAAGCAGCCCAUUUAUUUAUACACCAAGCAAACAGCCCUGUAAAGCUGAUACUGCUUCUUUUGAAGUGCUGAAAAACUUUGCCAUUCAUUUACAAGAUCAAAGAGACUGUAAUUUUCAGGCAUGCCACUCUGAAAUCCCUACUGGAGUUGUCUGUUCCUGUUUCUUCUCUAAGUAGUCAUCUGCUUCCUUCCUUUCCCUAAAUUGAUCUCAGAGUAGAGUCCCUGCAAAGAGCAUUGAUGUUUUAAAACUUUCCAGGGAAAGAAGAGACAGUGUUUUCUUUUCUGUAGGUCUUAUGCUGCACUGAAUCUAUUCCUCUUCUAAAAAUGUUGCAUUCAUUCAUGGAAAAGCCCUCUGUACCUCCAUGUGGUUUUCCAGUGGAAGUUCCUGGUACCUAUUACCUUUUUUUAUCAACCUUUUAAUUUGAAAUUGCAGUGUCUAUACUAUUUUGUUAUAGAAAUCAACUUAGAAAUGUGAAAUGCUUGGAAGUUUUUGUCUUUACAUAUGUCUGGCAACAAUGUUUCCCACGAGGAAGACUGACAUCUGCAGUCUGUCUGUGUACCACCAUGGCAUCUUGAAGACUGCUGAGGUGAUGGUAUCUGUCUUCUGUAAGACUGUUGAUCCCAGCCAUGUGGUGAUGACAGACAAAUAACCACUAUUGCCCUUUUUAAUGUCCUUUUAAGAGAAGAGGCUAGGAAAGUUUAUUAGUAAUGCUCACUUGGCAUUAUUAUAGGCUGAGAAAGCUUUACCUGAAAUUUCUUAUAAUCCUUAUAUCUGAAACUACUUCUCUGUUGCAGGUGUUGGGACUGGGACAUUGCUUCAAAUUUGCAGGGAGGAGCAAACUCCUCCCAAAUUUGCAGGGAGGAGUGAUGGCAUGCCUGUUUUUUUCUUUAGGAAAUGCUGCUGGAAAGCAGUCAGCUUCAAAUAAACCCAGUGAAUUGAAAAAAUACAUUCUGAUUUUGUACAGGUCCUAGGUUUUGGAGGGGAAAGAAAAUAAAUGAGUACUUCAGCUCCAUUAAAUCCUCACAGGAGGGACUGUAAAGGGAAUCAGCCUUUCUCUACACAAAAGUCCAGGAAGGGAGAGUAGGGUGGGCAGUGGUGACGAGGAGAGAGACGGCUGAAGUGCUGCAACAGACACAGACAUCUGCCUGUGCUCUUGUCAUCCCAUCACCCCCAUUCUUUGGCAAACAUGUGUGACUGCAUGUUGGAACUCUGAUGGCUGAAAACUUCAAGCUUUCUGAAUUUAAGGGUGCCAACCCUCAAGUAAACACCUUGAUUGACCUGAGACCUUGGAAAAGGCUUCAAAAAUUGAGUGAUAGCACAGAAAGAGUGUGUGUGUAGUUUGGGUAGUGUUGUGUGAUCUCACAGGGUGAAAAAAAUUAGAUUUAGGAUUUAUUAUAUGAUGAUAUAUGGGAGCCAAGAUGGAGAAUUUUGGGUGUGGAUUGGAUGUCUUUUUUGCACCUUCUUCCUUCUUCUUCAUGAAUCUGGGUGGUUUUCUCUAAUUGGAUGAAAGAUGUCUGCAUUGCAGGUUUUGGGUGAUUGUAAUUGGGUUAGAAGCAUAAAUAUUAUAGAUAGCAACUGUUUAUUGGAUAAUUGAGACUUAAACAGCCUUGACAGACACCAUUUUAGCUCACUUUCUCAACUUGUUAGAGAGAGCUCCCAUCUCAUGAGUUUGUAACAGAUAAGGAUAAUAAACUUCUGAGUGAGACUU
Onychostruthus taczanowskii (white-rumped snowfinch) is the source of this 4879-nucleotide RNA transcript. It is a transcript of the gene named fasciculation and elongation protein zeta 2, with no coding region annotated. The transcript has 14 exons. NCBI's taxonomy places the organism in Eukaryota, Metazoa, Chordata, Aves, Passeriformes, Passeridae. The record is from RefSeq and is a predicted model, not a curated record.